AGUCACUGACAUUAGAUACCCCCGGUAGUCCAGGGUGUAAACGCUGCAGACUUGGUGUUGGAGGCCCUUUGGGGGCAUUCAGUGCCGGAGAGAAGUUGUUAAGUCUGCUACUUGGGGAGUACGUCCGCAAGGAUGAAACUUAAAGGAAUUGGCGGGGGAGCACCGCAACGGGAGGAGCGUGCGGUCUAAUUGGAUUCAACACCGUAAAACUCACCAGGGAAGACUGUUACAUGAAGGCCGAGAUGAAGACUCUGCUAGAUUUUCAG
RNAcentral lists this ribosomal RNA (266 nucleotides) under uncultured archaeon. Its description in RNAcentral is "partial 16S ribosomal RNA". It matches the Rfam family "Archaeal small subunit ribosomal RNA", at positions 715 to 982 of the family's 1478-position model. The record is from RNAcentral.